CGUGCUCUCUCUCUCAUUCUCUCCCUCUCAAAUAAAUAAAUAAAUUAUAAAAAAAAAAAAAGAAUUAUGAAAACAUUUAAUCUAAAUCAGAAUUUCUCAACCUUAUUUUCAUUACUUUCCCUGCAAGGAGCUUUUUUAGGUUUCAUUUUUCCUAAUCAACCUCCCAGUGAAAUUUUAAUACCACAGAUGUACUGCAUAAUUACCUAUGUACUGUGUGUCUGCGCUUUCUUAAAUAAAAAGUGCACGAUUCUUCCCGACCAACUUUUGCUCUCUUGUGAACAAUAUUAUCUCCCUGAGAAGGCACGAUGUAAAUUAAUUAUUCUAUCGGUACUGUCUUUUUGGUUGAGGUUCUAUAAUACCCUACUUGCUACUAUGAUUAACAGUUCAGUGUUUACUCCAACCUUUGAAAUAACAAGAAGUUGAUCAGGUUUCUCUCCAAAUCGACAGAGAAAGGAAAGGUGGUGUGGGGGGGACCCUGCUGAAUGAGAUGACAGUGCAGACGAGAAACCCAAAAUUCAGACACAUGAAGGGACCUUCCAGGACCCUCCACCAGGGUGCGGCUACACUGGGACCACAGUCCUGUCUCCCAAGGCUGCGGCUCUUCCCGAAGUACCAGAAGGCUGUGUCAUCAGGUAGAAUCACACUGGAUGGCUGCUAUAAGACUUCCACAUUGUUCCCUGUGCUGGAAUUGUGGUGAAAAGAAACACUGUAACAGAAAACAACCGUUUCCACUUUCAGGACGAGGAAAUUACACAGAAGUGAUGUUCGGUCUUUGUGUGGUGAACGACUACAGAACAGGACCCAUGAGCAUCUGUGGUCUUGAAGCAGAUGACCAGCCUCUGACAUAUGGUCACAAGGUCAACAGCAGCCUAAGGCUACGUCACAUGCCUCCGUCAUUCACCUCACUUCAUCUCAUCACGUAGGCACUGUAUCCUCUGUCAUCACAAGACAAAGUAUGGCGAGUAUAGUAUGGGGGACAAUACAGAGAUUCAACAAUUCUAUACUUGACUCAGUGCUCUUCGUGACUUUUCUUCUGGAAGAAGAAACGUAGUUACCUUGAUAUAUAAAAAACAAGGCACUCUCUGUUUAGGGGGAGAAACGAGAAAUGUGAUACCUGGGCUGGAGUGUUUGUAGUCACAGGAGACGGAGAUUCGC
Long non-coding RNA from Zalophus californianus (California sea lion), 1155 nucleotides. RefSeq lists it as uncharacterized. Lineage: Eukaryota; Metazoa; Chordata; Mammalia; Carnivora; Otariidae. The record is from RefSeq and is a predicted model, not a curated record. The transcript is spliced from 4 exons.